ACGAGCUCCUGCUUGUGCCUGGACGCCGCCCUUGCUCUUGGGGAAGUUUCUACACCUCAUUCCCUCUGGCAAUCUUGAUGCUUGACUGUAAGGAACACAAUUCUUCGACUGUACCUCCCUUCCUCUCGGUGAGAAGGUCUAGCUACUUCUCGAUGCCAGAGAGGGGAUCCUUCAGCUGCUCCAUGACCACAGGCUUCUUCAGGAACACUAAGGCUGUGGCUUCGCCUGGGCUGUUUUAAAGUCUUCUUGUACCAUGGAGAACUGUCAUCUGUGUGUGCACCUCGGAGUUCCACGGAAGCCAUUGAACACUGCUCUGUUGAUCCGCUUGUCCUACAUGUGCUUUCAAGACCUCACUUGGGCUUCAGACAGUGCGAAAGGCAGGUAGUCUUCACUGUACUGGAGCUCAGAAGGACCAUGUGACUCCACCAAGGUUCAGACCCCAGGUUCUCAAUGGUCAGAAAACUAGGUUUCUCAGUUCCAAAAAAGAAAUAAUGGUUUCCCUCCUCCAAUGUCUAGAACCCAAAACAAUGCUCCACCUCCCCCAGUCUGGUGAGAGUGCAGCAGAAUAAACCGUGGCAUUUCACCUUCCUUUCAAGGAAAGGCUCUUCAUCUGCGGAGGACCUGGGUAACACGCUGCAGAAAACACACGCAGUGCCCCUGUGCUGCCAACAAACAGCCAUGAGAAAGGAUGGCCUGGUACUCUGGCAGCUCUACACCUGGCCAUUGAAACCCCUCAGCACAUUCCUGUGCUCAGUAUUAACUGGAACAAAUAUCUGUUGGGAGC
Molecule: long non-coding RNA, 784 nt
Organism: Microtus ochrogaster (prairie vole)
Lineage: Eukaryota; Metazoa; Chordata; Mammalia; Rodentia; Cricetidae
Exons: 3
Source: RefSeq, a predicted model, not a curated record